UGCUCUUAAGAUACCCUCGAUACGUUAUGAGGUUUGAAAGAAGACCCACACAAAAAGCAAAGUAGGGAAAAAAGCUUGGGUUGAGCCACAGACUGAGGAGGCUUAUAAUCGGUAUAAACAAGCAGUGGAAGAGCUCGCUAGGAGUCAGCCGACCGAUGAGCAAGGCCAAUCAAUCGUGCCAUAGGAGGAAGAAACUCUCUCAUUGUGAUUGAACGUGGUUGGAGGCGUGUAUAAGGGUAGAGCAUACGGCCUUUCCUCCGAGCGCAAUUUUCAUGGCCUCGUGUGUGGACUACAAGGUAUUGGGACAUCCGCUACCGUACAAAAUGAGGACCUUGAAGAGAUGCGGCGAACGAUUCAACAACUUUCUAGAAACUAUGUGGAUGAACGAGAAAAAAGAAAGCAUGAAGAGAAGAUUAUAGACGCACUUAGGAAUGACAUCGACUCCCUCAAGGCUCAAGUGAACCACUUAAUCGGUCUGCCCCGCUCUUCGCCAAAAAGCCACAUUCAUGAAGAGGAUGAAAAUGAUGGAAAUAAUAUAAAUGAUGAAGAAGAUGAGGGGAAAUCCGAAGACAAGGAGUGAUUUUAUGUUUGGUUGGAUUGUUGUUUAGUUGGAUGUUAACUUUGAAUGUUACAUUUUGAAGUUUGGCUGGAGAGUUUUGAUGUUUGAUGGGAUAA
This is a long non-coding RNA of Nicotiana tabacum (common tobacco), 675 nucleotides long. RefSeq lists it as uncharacterized. The record is from RefSeq and is a predicted model, not a curated record. Lineage: Eukaryota; Viridiplantae; Streptophyta; Magnoliopsida; Solanales; Solanaceae.